RNAcentral lists this long non-coding RNA (5371 nucleotides) under Gossypium barbadense (sea-island cotton). Its description in RNAcentral is "long non-coding RNA (GBAR_LNC010723)". The record is from RNAcentral. Lineage: Eukaryota; Viridiplantae; Streptophyta; Magnoliopsida; Malvales; Malvaceae.
UACUAUCUGUGGAGAGUUCACUCGAAGAGCUGAAGAGAAUGAUUUGGGAUUUAAAAGCAAAGGCAAAACUGGUUGAUGACUUGGUGAACCUGGUCAUUAAAGCAGUAAUUGAUAAUGAUUUCAACAUUGAACAGGCAACCAUGGUCAUGAUAGACGAAGGUACAGGGGCCUUCACCGAAGCGCUGAACGAGAGCCGCCCUGUUGUUGGCGGAAGUGGUGGAGGUCAUGAGGACAGUUCUAGCAAGCACAAUUAAUAUUGUGAUACUUUGUUUUGUUUUACGUUUUCUGAAGUUUGUGAAAAAAUCGAAGUGCCAUGAUUGAGAGGGAUUAAUGGAUGAGUCCCUUAAUGAAAUCAUAUUUAAGAAUAUCUAAUAAGUUUCAAUGUAUUGAUCCAACAAUCAAAAUUUUACUGUGAAUAGCAUACCAAAAACCUACCUACACAAUCCAAAAGUAAAGCCCAAUAGAAAUUGAAACUACAUAACCGUGUUCCUAGCAACUCAACACUAUCAUAUUUGAAUUUAUAUCUUUACCUAAAAUAUAUGAGUCCUAUUGAUGGUAUUCAUGAAUACCUCGAAAUAUAAUUCUCAAAAUUUACUCCUUUUAUUAAAUCUAAACACACACAAUCUAACAUGAACAUUUCUUUUUAAAAUAUUUAAUUUUAGUAUAUACGCUGUUUCACUCUUUGGUCUAAAUUUUAAGUCUAGCGGGCCUGCCAAAGGUCAACCAUCUAACGCCAGCAUAAUUUGUCUAUAAAUAUAGUUCUGGGUUGCGAAGUUUGCAACCAUUUAUCAUCGUGGCAGUUUUUCUUUCACAGGCUUCUUUAGUAUGUUUUUACUCUCAAUCCUUCCCCUGAGAAAUAAAUUGAAGGAGUUUUAGUAUCAAAUAUUGCAAGAAAAAGAAAGUGAAAGAUCUGGGAGCUUUUAAUUUUUCUAUCAUUUUAUUUGUUUAUUUAUUUUAGCUAUGUAUCUCCUCUCCUUUUUCCCUCUGUAUCCUACAUUGAUGAAGCUUUGGUUUCUGCAGGUGACAAGGCAAAACUGUUUCCGCUUUACUGUCUCUAUUCUUAAUAUUUCAAAUUGUUGUUUGAACGAUGUGAAGGCAGGGCUUGGACCAAAAUCCUUAAAACUUGGACAAAUUACAUAAGCAUGUCUCCUAUAUUAUCUAUUUGACUGUAUAAUCUCCUUAAUCUUCUCUUGUACUCGCAGGCUUCUUCGUAUACUUUGUAGGUUUAAUUGUUUAUCUAAUUGUUAUUUCUUUAAUUGGUGUUGUUAUGGUGUUUUCCAUUACCGACCCGUAACUUGGCUGAGAUCGACUUGAUCCAGUAGUGAUAGCCUAUAUAAUUUGCUAACAUAAGUUUGCAUCAUUAUGCAAGUGAACCAAUAUUUAGGAAAUUCGUGUUAUUCUUAGAAUAAAAUACGUUUUAACUUGCAUGAUGCCUACUUAACACGUCACAUCAAAAAAUCUUAUGAAAAUGAGUCUCCUUGGAAGGUAUAUGUACAAAAACAUUCAACAGAAUUAUUUUUCUUUAUUCUGAUUAUUUAUAAAAUUAGAUAUUACAUUUUCGUUUUAACUAAACAAUGUAAACUUCAAAAAGUUAAAAAGCUGUUAAUUGAAGAAUUAAAUGUUUGAUAAGCAAUCUUAUUAAUAACUUAAAACUUCAUUUUUAGACAAAAAAGGAACUAGGAUGAAGAUUGUAACGGAUUUUCUUUUUUCAAUAUGCAUGGAACUACAGAGGAGAAAAAAGAAGAGGACAAACAUGAAUAAAUAGAAGUACAUCUAAAACUAUGCUUAGCGGUGAUGAGUUCAUCAUAUGUUUAUAAGCACAUCAUAUUUAAUACCAAAUUAAUUGAAUUUAAUGGAACAGUAACGAUGGAUAAAAAUGAAGUCGAGUAAAUAAAAGUGAUUCUUUGAUUCAAUAUUUUGUAUGUUUUGUCUAUGAAAAAGAAGAGAGAUAGCAUUAGAUUUGUCGUACUUUUGGAAAUAAUUUCUUGACUUUUUGACUGGUGAUAUAGGCCUUGCUUGUCGUUCGACUUUGCCAUAUUCGGACUACCAUUAAUCCAUUUACUGGCGAUCCUCGAAGACCGUGGUUCACGCGGAAUCUCUUUGCCUUGCCCCACACGCUUAUGCUCCUUUGAAAUUUCAAAACGUCGGUGAUGGCCAUGUACACCUGGGUCCACCCCUAUUCUUUCCAUUUUCGUAUUUCCCACCAUCUUCCGUCGGGGAUCUAAGAAGGCGCCCGAAAACGCGUAUUCGUCAUCCACUACCAUAUUCUUAUUGUGGAGUGACGGAUGGGAUGACCUAUUAUUUUAGAUUUUUUUAAAAGGUUAAUAUAAUAUUUCAUACUUUGAUUUCGCUCCCUUAUUCAAUUUUGUACCUGGUUUUUUAUUCUAUUUUCGUAUUUUCACACCAUCUUCUGUCGGCUGUCCAAGAAGGCAUGUCAAAUUGCGUAUUUGUCAUCCAUUACCAUGAAGUUGAGGUGUUCAUAGGCCGGGCCGGGUCGAGUUCGGGUCGGGCUUAACUAAAAAAUUAUGUUUAUUUAUUGGGAUCGGGCCAGGCCGGGUCCAAUAAAUAGGCUUAAAAUUUUGUUCAAGUCCGACCCGGAUAAAAAUAUUAAAAUUUGGGCUCGGCUCAGCCCGGCCGUAUUAAUUUUUUAUAUUAUUUUUAAAUAUAUAUAAUACAUCAAAAAUACAAAAUAAAUAUCAAAAUAAAUAUUUCCCAACAAAUUAAAAAUAAAUUUUAAAAAAUAUGUAGACUUAAAUAACACUAAGAUAAAUACAACUUAACAAGCAAAUGCUUCUAAAAUAAUAAAAAAAUUAACAAAUGCCUUUAAAAUAAUAAGAAAAUUAACAAUAAAAUAAAUUUAUACAAUAUCCAAACAAUAACAAUAAAAUAAUAGCAAUAUGAUAGUAAAAUAGGCAGAAAACAACAAGAAAAUAACAUUAAAAAAAAAUGCAGAUUUUUUUGUCCUUUAGUGAUUCGGGCCGGACCCGAGCUAAAAAUACCUUACCAGAGGUCAGACCCAUUUUUUAAAUGGGUUUUAUUUUUUUGUCUAAACCCAUUUUUCGAGCCUAUAUUUUGUCCAAACCCUUUCACAUUUCGAGCGGGUCUUUGGGCCGAGCCGGGUAACCCGGCCAUGCACACCUCUACCAUGAAGGGGAUGACCUAUUAUUUUGGGUUUUUUAAAGGUUAAGAUAACAUUUCAUACUUGACUUUACUUUCAUAUUUAAUUUCAUACCUGGUUUUCUUAUUUCAUUUCGUAUUUUCGCACCAUUUUCCGUCAGCGGUCCAAGAAGGGGUGCAAAACGCAUAUUCGUCAUUCACUAACAUAUUCUUUUUUGCAGAAUGACGAAGGAGAUGACCUAUUAUUUUGGGUAUUUUUAAAGUUAAUAUAACAUUUCAUACUUUGACUUGGUUCCCGUAUUCAAUUUCAUACCUAGUUUUUUUAUUCCAUUUUCGCAUUUUCGCACCAUCUUCCGUCAUCCAAAAUGCGUAUUCGAUAAGUUUAUUCUCAUUAAACUUUAAUCCUUUAAUUUGUCAUUUCGCUACUGAAUUAAUAUUAUUGAGUGAAGUAAAACUACACUCAACCAAAAACUUUAUAAAUAAUAUCUAUUUAACUAACAAAUGUGAAGUACAAUUACAUAUUUCAUGAAUUAUAAACAAACAUAAAAAAAAAUAUCCAUUCAGAUUAAAACCCGUAACAACAAGUACUAAGUUAAAAGCAAAAUAAUUUUGAGAAUUUUGAACAAAUGAGUAUCUACCAUUAAUAAUACUUACCGAAUUUAUAAAUAAGGUUUUUACUGUAUUAAAAGAUGAAAUGAUAUUUGAUACACUAGUAAAGUUUUUAGAUUCUAUAAGUAAGAUCAAGAGCUUGACAUGUGUUAUAUAGAAAGUGUAAUCAAAUAUUAAAAAGAACAUAUAAUAAUUUUUUUAAAUUAUUUGUAAAAUUUUAAAAAAAUACACUACCAAUAUACUAAAUUCUAACUAUUUUGUUUCUAACUAAGUUUACUGACAUUGAAUAAAAGAAAGUUAAGAUUUACUCCAAAUUAUUUUAUUUGAAGGUUUUAAUUUUGUUUUAUAUUAAUGUUCAGACCUAAAUAAACUUUUUUCACAAACAGAAAAGCUAAAACAUAUAUUAAAAUUUAUUUUCAGAAUUUUAAUUUGGCAUCUAAGUCUAAAAUAACAAACUUUAUUUUAAUUCGAAAUAAAAAGAUUUCAUUAAUUUUUGUCUUAAUAGAGUUCUUAAAAAGGAUUAAACUCGGUUAUUAGUCCCAAUAUUUUUUUAAAAUUAGUCAAUUUUAAUUUUAACACUUUGUGAAUUUUGAAAAUUUAUACAAAAUCGAAGAAACAAACAGAAAUGGCCAGACAGCAACUGGUCGGACUUUUGCCCACCCGAAAAUUUAUACAAAACCGAUGUGGCCCAAGGGGAGAGAGAGAGAGAGAGAGAGGUGUGGGUAAGAUCCCUUUCAUGCAAAGGUCAAUGAGAUUCGAUUGGGACUGGAAUUACCUGCAGGCAACUUACCCAUUCUUUUUUCCAUUUAUGAAUAACCUAAUGCUAAUUAUUCAUGUCAAUUAUAGAGCUAGAUUCAUUUUUUUUUUUUACGAAUUGUUGUUGCUCAACCUCCAACUUGCUAGCAAUUUUGCUUGUUUUACACUAAUAUAAAUUUAUUUAUUUUCUGAUUGCUGUUCAAUACAGGGUUUAGUUAAGGCCGUAAAAGCUGACUUAGCAAGAAUACCAAAGGAAGAAAUAGGCAUCGGGGCAAGGCUACUAUCUGCGGAAAGUUCACUCAAAGAGCUGAAGAGUGUGAUUUGGGAUUUAAAAGCAAAGGCAGAUUUGGUUGAUGACUUGGUGAACCUGGUCAUUAAAGCAGUAAUUGAUAAGGAUCUCAACAAUAUUAACCAGCCAACCAUGGUCUUGAUAGACGAAGCUACAAAGACCUUAAUUGAAGUGCCGAACGAGGCUCAAUCUCGCGGGAGCCGCCGCGCUAUUGCCAGAAAUAACGGAGGGCAUCAGGGUAGUUCUAGAGACGUUGCAAGAGAGGAAAUAGGCAUCGAGGCGAGCCCACUAUCAGUGGAGAGUUCACUCGAAGAGCUGAAGAGAGUGAUUUGGGAUUUAAAGGCAAAGACAAAAAUGGUUGAUGACUUGGUGAACCUGGUCAUUAAAGCAGCAAUUGAUAAUGAUCUCAACAUUAAACAGGCAACCAUGGUCAUGAUAGACGAAGCUACAGGGGCUUUCACCGAAGCGCUGAACAAAGAUGGAAAGCAACUAUUUCAAAAUUAUGGGUCCACUAAUUUAAAUGUGCAUCCCAGCCCAAAUUCACCUCUUAUUCAUCUAUACAGACCUUAUAUAUUAAGUUUUAUUCUUUUGCCUAUUAAU